Molecule: long non-coding RNA, 634 nt
Organism: Oreochromis niloticus (Nile tilapia)
Lineage: Eukaryota; Metazoa; Chordata; Actinopteri; Cichliformes; Cichlidae
Exons: 3
Source: RefSeq, a predicted model, not a curated record
GUCAAAAUGCAUUCUGGGUCGGGACUCUAUCUGGAGGGCGAUUUGAGAAAUAAAAAUCCCGUAAUUUGCUUAAACGAUGUGAGGGGAAAAAAAAGAUGAAAAACUACAAAAAAACCUCAUUUGUGCAAAUGAGUUUCUAAUCUCACAGAAUGUUGCCAAUGGGAAAUGAGGCAAAACAGUUUCUAAUGCUUAAAUGUCCUGCCAAAAUCAAGCCAAAGCCUGCUUUUUCAUCAAGGUUAGACCAUUCCCAGAAGUGCUCCUUAGCAACUGACCUUGAUUUCUGCCUUCUUCAACAAACUGAAAGAAACACUUCAGGAAUGAGGAAAAACAUGUAAUUCUUCAUGUCUAACGUUUUAUUUGGGUUUGAGAGAAGCAAGGAAAAGACAUUAAAAAAAACGUAAACACUUAGUAUGGCUGUUUUAAUCUUUUACAGAGCGCCUUGCAUCACAUUUUUUUACUUUUUAGUGAGGAAGACAGCUAGAGAUGCGAACAAAACAAGUAUAUACAUGUCAAAAUGCUUACAGUAUCUUAGUCUUCACUUUAAUGUGGAUUCACAGCAAACUAUUGGUUUGUGUACGUUUGCAGACUGGCUCUUGAACACUCCUAAACUUGCAGGACUAUACCUUAUGAACUA